CAAUAGCGUAUAUUAAAGUUGUUGCGGUUAAAAAGCUCGUAGUUGGAUUUCUGCCGAGGACGACCGGUCCGCCCUCUGGGUGAGUAUCUGGUUCGGCCUGGGCAUCUUCUUGGAGAACGUAUCUGCACUUGACUGUGUGGUGCGGUAUCCAGGACUUUUACUUUGAGGAAAUUAGAGUGUUUCAAGCAGGCACACGCCUUGAAUACAUUAGCAUGGAAUAAUAAGAUAGGACUUUGGAACUAUUUUGUUGGUUUGCGUUACAAAGUAAUGAUUAAUAGGGACAGUUGGGGGUGAUUCGUAUUUAAUUGUCAGAGGUGAAAUUCUUGGAUUUAUGAAAGACGAACUUCUGCGAAAGCAUUUACCAAGGGAUGUUUUCAUUAAUCAAGAACGAAAGUUAGGGGAUCGAAGACGAUUAGAU
RNAcentral lists this ribosomal RNA (418 nucleotides) under uncultured eukaryote. Its description in RNAcentral is "SSU rRNA". It matches the Rfam family "Eukaryotic small subunit ribosomal RNA", at positions 592 to 1013 of the family's 1831-position model. The record is from RNAcentral.